UAGCCGCGGUAAUACAGAGGGUGCAAGCGUUAAUCGGAAUUACUGGGCGUAAAGCGCGCGUAGGUGGUUUGUUAAGUUGGAUGUGAAAUCCCCGGGCUCAACCUGGGAACUGCAUUCAAAACUGACUGACUAGAGUAUGGUAGAGGGUGGUGGAAUUUCCUGUGUAGCGGUGAAAUGCGUAGAUAUAGGAAGGAACACCAGUGGCGAAGGCGACCACCUGGACUAAUACUGACACUGAGGUGCGAAAGCGUGGGGAGCAAACAGGAUUAGAUACCCCCGUAGUCCCUGUCUCUUAUACACA
Molecule: ribosomal RNA, 301 nt
Filed under: uncultured bacterium
Lineage: Bacteria
Description: partial 16S ribosomal RNA
Rfam family: Bacterial small subunit ribosomal RNA
Source: RNAcentral